AUCACUUCUCAGCCUUUUGGCUAAGAUCAAGUGUAGUAUAUUACUAUAUUAUAGUAAUAUAUUACUAGGUGUCUUCAAUGAACACAAAAUUUCAUUUAAGUACAAACAGAUGGUUUGGAAAACAAAUU
Molecule: small nuclear RNA, 128 nt
Filed under: Ophiophagus hannah (king cobra)
Lineage: Eukaryota; Metazoa; Chordata; Lepidosauria; Squamata; Elapidae
Description: U2 spliceosomal RNA
Rfam family: U2 spliceosomal RNA
About the family: U2 is a small nuclear RNA (snRNA) component of the spliceosome (involved in pre-mRNA splicing). Complementary binding between U2 snRNA (in an area lying towards the 5' end but 3' to hairpin I) and the branchpoint sequence (BPS) of the intron results the bulging out of an unpaired adenosine, on the BPS, which initiates a nucleophilic attack at the intronic 5' splice site, thus starting the first of two transesterification reactions that mediate splicing.
Source: Rfam by way of RNAcentral